This 1411-nucleotide long non-coding RNA is filed under the name Daucus carota (carrot). RNAcentral's name for it is "long non-coding RNA (DCAR_LNC003316)". Lineage: Eukaryota; Viridiplantae; Streptophyta; Magnoliopsida; Apiales; Apiaceae. The record is from RNAcentral.
AGGGAGUGCAAAGAUGCAUGAUUAUUUAUCUGAACCAAUUAAAGAAUAGCAAGGAGAUAAUCCAAGUAUCUGCAAAAGACACCAUUUUCAGUGUACUGGAAAGUAACAUCCACAUACCUGGCAAAACAACUGUUUGUGAAGCUUUCCUAUCCUCCAGAAUUCUCGAUUAUAAUUUUUUUUUUUUUUUUUUUGCUUCUUAUUACAGUUUACGUGGUAGGCUUAUACAAAAUGUGUAAGCGGAAACACUGUUAUCAAGUCGACGACUAGUGAACCAGUCGUUCUAUAGAAAAAGUCGAGGAGCGACUUAUGAGUUUUACCCGACCCGGUACCUGGUCUGACCAAAAAUUUCAGAAGUAGGGUUUUUAGACAAAAUCUUAUGUGGUUUUGUUCUGAAAAGAAAGAUAAGGAUUUGGGCGGCUACAAGGUCCGAUUAAUAGACUUGUCGUCGGUGUGUAGGCCCUGAUUACCUGUUCCGGAAACUUCAGAAGUAGGGUUGUUAGACAAAAUCUUAUGUGGUUUUGUUCUGAAAAGAAAGAUAAGGAUCUGGGCGGCAACAAGGUCCGACUAAUAGACUUGUAGUCGGUGUGUAAGCCCUGAUUACCUGUUCCGGCUACGUAAUCUUUAUAUCAUUUUCAACAUAUUAGUAUAUCCCUAAUCUUUGUAUCAUUUCAACUUCACAUUAUUAUUUCCUACCCGUCACUACUUUCCGACUUCAGGCUAUGUAAUCUUUGUAUUAUUUUCAACAUAUCAGUAUAUCCCUGAUCUUUGUAUCAUUUCAACUUCACAUUAUUAUUUCCAUCCUGACACUACUUUCUGGCUUCACUUUACAUGUGAACUAACAAUCUGCUACGUCCUGUACAUCUCACUGUUGCUUCUUAUCUUUUAAUUUUGAUUCAAACUAUAAACUGAUGUUUGUUCAACUAAAUGAUGUGUGUUCAACUAUAUUAUAUUUAUCAAAUCUAGUAAACAUAUGUAUAUAAAUGACUUGACUGUUUACGACUAGUCUGGCGACUUGUCGACUAGUCAAUUCCAAGGUACCCGGGCGCCGAGGCUCGACUUGGCGCUGUGAUAACCUUGAGUGGAAAUAAACAAUGAGCGAGAGGUACUUCCUAAAUGACACAUGCAAAGACAUCCAGCAGAAAAGAUGAAACAGAGAAAAGCAUUGACAUUUUGACCACAUCUAACCAGUUUCCAGUUCUUCUACGGAACAUUAUACACGUUAGAACUAAAGUUUACAUCAGAAGAGAAAAUUGUGGAGUCUAUUAAGCAAGUGUGCAUGUAAUGUAUAUUUAAAAUAAUUGUGACACAUGCUCUAGGCUACCUCAAAAUAUGACACUGGCAAGUAGCAUCACUUGUAUAAUAAUCUUGCCUUAGACUUCCACGGGAUAUGGCGAUUUUAUUACUAAAUUAU